GAUGAAGAACGUAGUGAAAUGCGAUAAGUAAUGUGAAUUGCAGAAUUCAGUGAAUCAUCGAAUCUUUGAACGCACCUUGCGCUCCUUGGUAUUCUGAGGAGCAUGCCUGUUUGAGUGUCAUUAAAUUCUCAACUACACUGACUUUGAAUUGGUGUGGCUUGGAUUUGGGGGGAAAAUUGUUGUGGGCUUUUUGUAUAGUCUGCUCCCCUGAAAUUGAUUAGCGGUACCUUUGUGGAACUGUCUACAGGUGUGAUAAUUAUCUACAUCUUAGACAUCUGCUGGAAUGCUGCUUUCUAAACCUUACUUGUAUUGACAAUCUUGACCUCAAAUCAGGUAGGACUACCCGCUGAACUUAAGCAUAUCAAUAAGCGGAGGA
RNAcentral lists this unclassified non-coding RNA (376 nucleotides) under soil metagenome. Its description in RNAcentral is "partial contains 5.8S ribosomal RNA, internal transcribed spacer 2, and large subunit ribosomal RNA". The stretch from base 1 to 120 matches the Rfam family "5.8S ribosomal RNA", at positions 35 to 154 of the family's 154-position model. The record is from RNAcentral.